Molecule: non-coding RNA, 502 nt
Organism: Rattus norvegicus (Norway rat)
Lineage: Eukaryota; Metazoa; Chordata; Mammalia; Rodentia; Muridae
Source: RefSeq, a predicted model, not a curated record
AUCCCCCCAUUUCACAGGUGAGAGGCAGAGCUGGACCCAGAAGCAGAGCUGAACCUGAACCAUGAACUAGUCUGUGUCCAGACUCCACAGACCACCCGGCUUCACUUCAACUAUAAACAUCCCAUUCUUGUCUCUCCACCAGCAAUGAGUUAAUCUCCUUUCAACCAACACCUGUCCAGGAAAAUCAAGGAGCUGGAGAAAGGGGUGUAGCAAAGACCAGAGGAAAUAACAGAAUGUGGUUGAUUGAAAAAGGCAUGAAACCAAACCAAGAACCACACUGCGGGUAGAGACCGUUACAGAAAACCAUAGCUGGUCAAAGGACAGAGAACAGCUUACCAUCUACAAUGGAUUCAUCACAACACAGUUAGGUCCUCAACGCCUACACCUGGGUUUUGGGAGCAUCAGGGAAGAAGAGCCUGACAGCCAAAUGACCAGGAAAUCUACUGUGAGACUCUGUCUCCUAGAAAUGACAGAGAAGCUUGACACCUCAACAAUGUGGCUG